This 449-nucleotide ribosomal RNA is filed under the name uncultured bacterium. RNAcentral describes it as "bacterial SSU rRNA". It matches the Rfam family "Bacterial small subunit ribosomal RNA", at positions 29 to 524 of the family's 1533-position model. The record is from RNAcentral.
AACGAACGCUGGCGGCAGGCCUAACACAUGCAAGUCGAACGCCCCGCAAGGGGAGUGGCGCACGGGUGAGUAACGCGUGGGAACCUGCCCUUCGGUUCGGGACAACCCAGGGAAACUUGGGCUAAUACCGGAUGAGCUCCGCGAGGAGGAAAGAUUUCUCGCCGGAGGAGGGGCCCGCGUCGGAUUAGGUAGUUGGUGAGGUAACGGCUCACCAAGCCUUCGAUCCGUAGCCGGUCUGAGAGGAUGAUCGGCCACACUGGGACUGAGACACGGCCCAGACUCCUACGGGAGGCAGCAGUGGGGAAUAUUGGACAAUGGGGGCAACCCUGAUCCAGCCAUGCCGCGUGGAUGAUGAAGGCCUUGGUUGUAAAGUCCUUUCGCGCACGACGAUGAUGACGGUAGUGCGAGAAGAAGACCUCGGCUAACUCCGUGCCAGCAGCCGCGGUAAU